UUUAAUUUUCAUACUAGUAACGUUUUAUAUUUGUAUAUAAGUUAUACUAAUAUAAAUUUUAGUUGGGGCAACUGAGGAGUAAAAAAUAAUCUCCUUAUUAUACACCAAAAUGAUAAUUAGAUGAUCCUUUUAUAAAGAUUAAUAAAUAUAAUUAC
This 155-nucleotide ribosomal RNA is filed under the name Nucula atacellana. RNAcentral's name for it is "partial large subunit ribosomal RNA". Lineage: Eukaryota; Metazoa; Mollusca; Bivalvia; Nuculida; Nuculidae. The record is from RNAcentral.